This 253-nucleotide ribosomal RNA is filed under the name uncultured prokaryote. RNAcentral's name for it is "partial 16S ribosomal RNA". It matches the Rfam family "Bacterial small subunit ribosomal RNA", at positions 524 to 776 of the family's 1533-position model. The record is from RNAcentral.
UACGAAGGGUGCAAGCGUUAAUCGGAAUUACUGGGCGUAAAGCGAGCGCAGGCGGCUCUGUAAGUCAGAUGUGAAAUCCCCGGGCUCAACCUGGGAACUGCGUUUGAAACUACAGGGCUAGAGUAUGGGAGAGGCGGGUAGAAUUCCACGUGUAGCAGUGAAAUGCGUAGAGAUGUGGAGGAAUACCAAUGGCGAAGGCAGCACCCUGGCCUAAUACUGACGCUCAUGCUCGAAAGCGUGGGGAGCAAACAGG